This is a long non-coding RNA of Melanotaenia boesemani (Boeseman's rainbowfish), 487 nucleotides long. RefSeq lists it as uncharacterized. The record is from RefSeq and is a predicted model, not a curated record. NCBI's taxonomy places the organism in Eukaryota, Metazoa, Chordata, Actinopteri, Atheriniformes, Melanotaeniidae. The transcript is spliced from 3 exons.
GCAACCAGCCAUUAAAGUGACAAGAGAUCAGAUCACCUUUCUUAUGAACCAAGGCAACACAGUUAAGCAAAUGGCCAAAAUUCUUGGGUGUUCCUCUUCAUUUUUGUACAAGACAACAAAGACUCUUGGUGUAUCUGUAAGAACCAGAUUCUCUACAUUAGAAAAUGCAGAACUCGAGGCCCAUGUCAGAAGACUUCAGGCUCAAUAUCCAAACUCGGGAUAUGAGAUGAUGAGGGCCUUGUUAAAAGCCGAUGGAUUUUUUGUUCAACGAUGGAAGGUUAGAGAGAUGUUAGCUCUGGUUAACCCAACAGCUACAGCCCGAAGGUGGAGUUGUGCAGUGGCAAGGCGGGUGUAUUAUACACCUUACCCUAACAGUCUGUGGCAUAUAGACGGCAAUAUGCGCCUCAUAAGAUGGGGAUUUGUGGUCCAUGGUGCCAUCGAUGGAAAGUCCCGGCUCAUUACAUAUUUGAAUUGCAGCAGUGACAAU